RNAcentral lists this long non-coding RNA (754 nucleotides) under Homo sapiens (human). RNAcentral describes it as "novel transcript". Lineage: Eukaryota; Metazoa; Chordata; Mammalia; Primates; Hominidae. The record is from RNAcentral.
AGUGCUCCUGCUGACCUUCCGUGUCUGCAGCCCGGCUUUGGACUGUGGAGAUGCCCUCAGCCUCUACUCAGUGGCUCCAGCCUCAUAUUUGCGUGCUAUACCUUUAACCUCAAGUCCUCUUGCUGCUAACUUAAGCUGCGACUGUCCAGGACCUGCACACACACACACAUGCACGCAUGCACACACACACACACAGAAGCCCUGACUGCCGAAACCCUCCAGCCCCAGCUCCAGCCCCUCAGGAGGGGACUGCGUGGGAGGAAUGACUCCAGCAAGCCGGCAGCUGACCCGUCUCCUGCCUGCACGCCUCCCGCUGUGGUCCACUGCCGGUGGUCUUCAGCUCUCUCCUCGUCCCACCCCCAUGGUCUGCUGACAGCCCAGCUCAGUGCAUCCCUGCCAUCUCUGCUCUACCGCUGGUCCUCCCAACAACCAACUUACAGGGUUUCACUCCCGUCACCCAGACUGGAGUACAAUGGUGCGAUCUCAGCUCACUGCAACCUCUGCCUCCUGGGCUUAAGCGAUUCUCCUGCCUUGGCCUCCCAAGUAGCUGGGAUUACAGGUGCCUGCCACCACUCCUGGCUAAUUUUUGUAUUUUUUGUAAAGGCGGAGUUUCUCCAUGUUGCCCAGGCUAGUCUCAAACUCCUGAGCUCAAGCAAUCCACCCGCCUCGGCCUCCCAAAUAAGUGGAAUUAUAGGUGUGAGCCACCACGCCGGCCCUGAUGUAUCAAUAUUAAAACAUUUUCUUCAGCCUACAA